RNAcentral lists this ribosomal RNA (261 nucleotides) under Triticum aestivum (bread wheat). RNAcentral describes it as "partial small subunit ribosomal RNA". Lineage: Eukaryota; Viridiplantae; Streptophyta; Magnoliopsida; Poales; Poaceae. The record is from RNAcentral.
AUGGAAACUGAAGUUUGGGAGGCGAUCAAGGCAUCCCCCUCUAAGAAGGCACCUGGACCUGACGGAUUCUCGGGCGCCUUCUACAGAUCAUGCUGGAGUCUCAUUAAGCACGACAUCAUGGCUGUUUUCCAUCAUUUCUACAACUUAGCUGGGGGUGAUUUUGCGGCCCUGAACUCUGCCAUGAUUGUGCUGCUGCCGAAGAAGGACGGGGCAACAAGUAUGGCUGAUUACAGGCCCAUCAGCCUAAUUCACUCCAUCGCA